RNAcentral lists this long non-coding RNA (286 nucleotides) under Lathyrus oleraceus (garden pea). RNAcentral describes it as "Pisum sativum (pea) long non-coding RNA (PSAT_LNC008646)". Lineage: Eukaryota; Viridiplantae; Streptophyta; Magnoliopsida; Fabales; Fabaceae. The record is from RNAcentral.
AGCUUCUGAAUCUACCUCUCAGAAGGCUUCUAGGGAGACUCUAGAUACUUUUACUGAAGAACCUAGAGCUGAUGGAGCUACUUCUGCUAGAACUGCUUCUAGUAAGUAUGUUCCUUCUGAAGCUCACUUACUUACUGUUGAUAAUAGUUCAUCCAUCCCAUCAACCAUCCUUACUUCAUCUACCCUCAUCCCACAUAUUUCUGAACCAAUUCACUUCCUUACACACAUUGCUCCCCACACUACAAAUCCAAAUGUCACCAACCACCACCCUCACCAUCAUAUUCUG